GGUACCCUGCCGUGCGCGUGAUGCUGCCUCCCGGUUUUGAGCCAACACUCUUAAAUCGGGUUUCAAUCUUCAAAGCGUAACGCGAUAGGCUAAGGCCAAGGCGAAGCCCUUGAGGCGGAACCCAACCUGCGAAGGCAGGUUCAAAACUUUGCUGCACACGGCAUGGUGGGGUCUUU
Molecule: non-coding RNA, 176 nt
Filed under: Anaerolineales bacterium
Lineage: Bacteria; Bacillati; Chloroflexota; Anaerolineae; Anaerolineales
Description: 6S RNA
Rfam family: 6S / SsrS RNA
About the family: E. coli 6S RNA was the first non coding RNA to be sequenced, but its function was unknown until recently.
Source: RNAcentral